RNAcentral lists this ribosomal RNA (253 nucleotides) under uncultured bacterium. RNAcentral's name for it is "partial 16S ribosomal RNA". It matches the Rfam family "Bacterial small subunit ribosomal RNA", at positions 524 to 776 of the family's 1533-position model. The record is from RNAcentral.
UACGGAGGUGGCAAGCGUUGUUCGGAAUUACUGGGCGUAAAGGGCGCGUAGGCGGCCAGGCAAGUCAGGUGUGAAAGCCCCGAGCUUAACUCGGGAAUUGCAUCUGAAACUGCUGUGCUUGAGUUCUGGAGGGGGUAGUGGAAUUCCCAGUGUAGCGGUGAAAUGCGUAGAUAUUGGGAGGAACACCUGCGGCGAAGGCGGCUACCUGGACAGAAACUGACGCUGAGGCGCGAAAGCUAGGGGAGCGAACGGG